RNAcentral lists this ribosomal RNA (255 nucleotides) under Bacillus cereus. Its description in RNAcentral is "partial 16S ribosomal RNA". It matches the Rfam family "Bacterial small subunit ribosomal RNA", at positions 66 to 309 of the family's 1533-position model. Lineage: Bacteria; Bacillati; Bacillota; Bacilli; Caryophanales; Bacillaceae. The record is from RNAcentral.
GCGAAUGGAUUAAGAGCUUGCUCUUAUGAAGUUAGCGGCGGACGGGUGAGUAACACGUGGGUAACCUGCCCAUAAGACUGGGAUAACUCCGGGAAACCGGGGCUAAUACCGGAUAACAUUUUGAACCACAUGGUUCGAAAUUGAAAGGCGGCUUCGGCUGUCACUUAUGGAUGGACCCGCGUCGCAUUAGCUAGUUGGUGAGGUAACGGCUCACCAAGGCAACGAUGCGUAGCCGACCUGAGAGGGUGAUCGGCC